ACACAGAAACUGAGGAUGAACAGGAAGAUGUAAUUGGUUAAGAUAAGAUCAUACUGGAUGUGGAUGGGUCCUAGAUCUGACUGCUGAUAUCCUUAUAAGAAGAAGAAAGGACACGCGGAGACUACAGUGAUGUUGCCACAAGCCAAGAAAUGCCAAGAAUUUCGGGAGCCACCAGAAGAUGGAAGAGGCAGGGAAAAAUCCUCCCCUAAAGCCUUCAGAGAGAGCAUAGCUCUGCCAACACCUUGAUUCUGGACAUCUAGCCUCUUAAACUUCCUCAGGUGUCUCAUUUCUUCUGUCUCAGAAGUCAUGGAUGUCAAUGAAGAUAUGGAAUUCACUUAUUCAUUCUUAUAAAUAUUACUUAGUGUCCUUGUGCUUGGCACUGUGCUUGGUCAUUGAGAUCUACUGUUCAAAAGCAAGAUAACAUACAGGCUGGAAUAGCGAGAUGCAAGAAUCCCAAGCCUUCAAAGCCAGCUCCUGCAGAAGAGAGAGGGCCUGGCAGCUGAGCUGGAUGCUUCAGGAGCAGAGGAUCUAUCAACUGCAGACCAAGCACAGGGAGACGCAGGCAAACCUGGAACAGUAACCCAGCCAGCUCCAAUUGCUCCGACAGUACUUGGUGGCCAGAGAGUCGGCAGCAGAAAGCAUGCCCCGGGCCGUGAAGCAGGAAAUCGACUCUGACUCAAUCCUUGAGGUCUGUAUUACAUCUGGGAGUACAACUUGAAGGGCCCCACACUCUUGUUUCUCAGCACCUCAUAAAUCUAAGCCCACGUGAAGUGAACAGAGCAUCCCUUCUUCAAGAGAAUGGAAAAAGAAAGGAUGCUGAGGAGGAACUGUUGGGGGCAGAGCCCUUGAAGCCAGCUGGCAAGACUGAGACCACUGAUCAAUGCUUUGCCCACUGAAAGGACAACCUUAUAAAGAAUUGGAACCAUUAAGCUUUAAUUUUUAGAAAUUUGGAUGCUAGAGGGAAUGGUCUUUAGGGACCGCUGCGGUCCCUAAACCCAUCAUCUGCUCUGGUGCCAGGAUACAAAUCUGUUCGCCCUGAAUCCUUCAUCUGCUUGGAUGUCCAGGAUACAAUCUUUUCAGUUUGGGAACUUCUGACUGUUUUUCUCAGGUGUCUGCCUUGCUUCAAUGCUUAUAUCUUGAACAUUGUGUCUUUACGUGUCUGCCUUCGGCAGGUUUCAUUAAUUUGUAAUUUAUGCCUACAAAAUUGUUUAAGCACUUCUGGAUCUUACACUGGUCAAGGGUGUGUAUUAGUGGGUGUGUGUGCACUAUACAGACUGUGGGGCAGAAUCUACUGGGUUUUGUUUUUCCUGAUUUUAAAAUGUUUAGUCAUUCUGAUCCAUACGUGUGAGUUAAUAAGUGUGUGUCUCUGUAUCUUGGUGCAAGUGUCUGUACUCGGGAAGCAGUGAACACAAGCAGUUUAGAAUAGUAUUCCACAUUUCUCUACCAUUUGCAUUAACUGUGUCUUUCCAAAAUGCAUAUUCAGCUUCAUUUUUUUUUUUUAUUCAGAGGUGGUAGUUUUCAAACUCAAAUCUAGCUCAUUUGUCUCUUUUAGCACAUGAUUGAGGAUUAGGGACUAUUCUAACUGGCAGUCAAGGGUCAGUAUUUUGGACUCCAUUUGGCUUAGAUAAUUUAUAUAGAAUAAAAGUCUAACAGGUAUAAUCACAAUAGCCUUGGCUUAAUAAUUUUCCAAGCAUACUUGAAGUUGAAAAACACUUCAAACUAAAAUUGGAAGAAUGUUCUGGUUAGUAAGUUGUAUGCUUCUGUAAUAAUGGAGAGAAUUGGAAUGCAGUUCUCUUUGUUUGAUUUAUAUGGCAACACCAAGAAUGUGAGACGUGUGUUUUACUGUAGAAAUAAACUUUCAACAUUGACCUAGAGAACAGAAGACUCAGGUUGGUACUUAAAUCCUGCUCUGCUAGGUUAUAAUGAAAAGCAUCUUAAUAAGAAUAGAUUUUUUAGGAAGAAAAAUCUUAAGAUUCAUGUCUUUCUCUCAUUGUUUGCAAUAUUUGUCAACAUUUGCUUGCAUGAUUCCUACGAAGAACAAGCUUAUUUGGAGAAAGUGAUCUAAAUUUUAGAAUUGAAUGUACUCCACUAAUUAAAUGUGUAUGUCCUUGUGAUCUUAGUGCCACUAAAUCUAAAUAGCACAUACGUAAAUUCACUGCUGUCUUAUGCUACAAGUCAUAUUUGAAAGCUUGUUGCCAGCCCUAAGAAAGUGAUUUUAUUAUGGAGUUAUCUAAUGGCUUCAGAUAACACGUUUCAUUGUCUACAGUCUUGUAAGAAUUUAACUCUUAUGUUAUAGAUAUUUCAUAUGCUACAUUUACAUUUUAUAUUUUAUACAUAUAGAGAUCUUUAAAAUUCUAUCUGUCUAAAAGGUUUCCUCUUCAAUGUAUUUUAUAAUACAAUGAUAGAAAAUUUCACUUUAUUUCUAUAUUCAAAACAUAAAGUGUUAUAAUAUUGAUAUUUCACCUUUAUUUCCAUUUUAAUAACAUGUAUUAUGUUUCAAACCUUUCUAAGCAUCUUGACAUACUCAUUUGAUCUUUAGAGCAAUUUACAAGAUAAGUUAGAGCAGAAGUCAUUAUCUUCAUUUUACCAAUAAUAAAACAUGCACAAGGUGACACAGAUAUUAGUGUCAGACUUGAAGCUGUGGCCUGAAGCUAAGGACUCCUGGUCAAGUACUCUUUCCACAGCUACUGCUGCUUCUGUUAAUGUUUGAUAACUUUUUAGCAUACUCUGUAUUUCCAGUACCUAUUAUAACCAUUACAAUGCAUGUAACGCAAAUGUUGGUUGCUCUUAGACGAUCCUUAGCAUUCUAACCACAUAAGAAAAAGUAGCAAAUAAGUAUUUCAGGCAUCUUUCUUGGGCUUUUAUCACAGCACAACCUGCUGCAGAGUCUGAUGUCAUGAUGGACCUUUAUUGUCAGCUUCAGAAAUUCUGGGUGAGCUAUUAAUAUGCUUAAUGAUUUUGCUCCCCAGCAACAUGUUCCUAUGAAAACAUGGUGAGUAUAUAUUACUCACUAUGUUUCACAAAACAAUUGUGUACAUAUUUUGUCUUCAUACCUAUCAACAUUUGCCUUAAAGACACAUUAUGUAUAAUUUGAAACAUCCAUGAGGCUUUUCCUUUUCCUGGAAUAACUAGCACCCCUUCUCCAACCUCUUCCCCAUUCAGGGGUUCUUGACCUUCACUGUGUUAUGGACCCCACUGCCAAUCUGCCAUAGACCUAAAGCCUAUGGACCUUUCUUAGUAUAAUGCUUUUAAAUAUAUAAAAUAAAGAAUAAAGCAUGUAGAAUUACAAAGAAAUUCAAUUUAUAUUGAAAUUCAGCUAUCAAAAUAUUAAAAUCAAUUAAAUAUUAACACCAAUAUUUGGUAUGAUAAUAUGGAUAGUUUCUAUUAAUGCAUUAAUAAAGCCCAGUGGUUGGUGUACUACUAUAAUUUUAAAGCAGUGAUGAGCAUAAGGGAUAUUUUGAAAUAUCUACAGUAUCUGAUAUGUAGCUAUGGUUUCUAUUGGUGACAUUGUCACUAACGUUAAUAUUACGGUAGUUUAUUUUCUACAUUUAUUUUUUUCACUUUUACAUCCAUUAUAUUUAAUUUGAUUCUUACAACAACCUUGUGCGGUAGGCAAGAUGUGAAGUCAAUACUUUAUAGACAAAGAAGCUGAAGCGUAGCAGGAGCUUAACUGAUGAGAUCCAUUUUCUCUUCCAUCAAGCAUCUUCUUGUGUAUUGUCUUAAUCCAAAUCCUUGACAGAAAUGCUGAAGAGGACCUCUGUAGGCUAGGUUGAUCCUGAAUUCUCAAAUAGCACUGACUGGUACGCAGUUUAACCAAGUCAGUUUCACCUAAAAGUGUGAUUAUCCAACCCACAUGUUGCCAUUCUGUUAAAAAGGAUGGUACAAAAGACAGUCACAGUCACCUGGCUUACUGACAUAAAUAUUAAUAUUAAUCCAAUAAGUAAAAAGCACAUGAGAAUUGGCUGCCACAGAAAGAAAAAUUUCGACCUGUAUCUACCAAGAAACUAUCUUACCAACUAAAGAAGCCAAAUCUGUCUCUCUUUCAAAACCCUCAUGGGGCCAUGUUUUAUUAUAAUGGUUUGUCACAGGUCCUAACCCAUACUGUAUUUGAUUAUAUACAUGUCUCAUAAUUAAGUCAUUCCUCUUUAUCACACCCAGCACUUAGUCCACUGCUGCCCAUGUAGGAGGCACUCAAAUUGGUAAAAGAGAAAUCUAUUCAAGCGAAUAUUCUUCCAAUAUUAUCUGGCCCCCCUCCAAAAGCAAACUUGUGACUAGAAGAGGCACCAGUCAUUGCCACAUUCCUACUAACACGACUGAUUUAAAUGCCCUUGUAAUUGACUUGGUCAUAGUUUCCAACAGGUGCAAAGGCUUUUGCUAGUUAAACCAGUUUUCAUUGGAUCAUUUUGUUUUAUAUGUGUGUUUUGACCAAAAACAAAGAUACGUUCUCUAACAACAGGGAGAGGAUACAUGCAAUAGGAAUAUGUCUAUAAAAUGAUGGUCUAUCAAUAAGGAAAAUAAGUGAUUAAUAAAACAAAACAUCCGACUGUAAGUCUACCCAAAGAAAGGAAAAAGGACUCACAAACAAGAAUAUAGUGCUUUACCAUUUACAUAUCUUUCACAUACAUUCUCAUUUGACCCUCACAACAGCCCUGUGAGGUAGGCAUCACGGAUAUUCUUCUCAUUAACCAGAUGGAGACAGUAAAUCUCAGAGCAGUUCACUGAUAUGCCCAAGGCUCUACAGUUAGUGAGUGAUUUGUAUUAACAUCAGUCUUUGGCCUAAAAAUUCAGCACCCAACUUCCCCUCAUACUUGCCCACACCUACUUCACAGGGAUAAUGAAGAUAAAAUGAAUUCAGGGCUACAAAAAUACUUUGAGGGAAACAAGCACUGUAUAAUUAUACCUACAAACUAUGAUUUUCCACAAUAUAUGGCUCAUUCCUCUUCUUAUCCCAGCUUGUGUGUGAACUCAGAGUUGUAUAUUGCCUCUGUUCUGUGCUCAAUAAGCAAAUAAGGCAGGCAGGGGGUACAGUGUGAUCCUGUUUAAAGUUGCAUAAAUUACAAUCAGGGUAACUGCUGUUAUUAGGCAAAUUGAAAAACAGCAUAGAAAAGUCAGUGUGUAAGUAGGACCCACUAAAGCUCAGAGCAAAGCAAUGCAAGAUUAUCAAACAAGGCAUGAUUGCACAGAAGGAAAAUGUGGUAUCAGAGUUCAAACUGGCACACACACACAAUUAUCUAAGGCAAAGUGGUGGCAAAGAAGAGUUAUUUGUUCCAUGUUACACAAACAAGAGCAGAAGAUUCAUGGGAACCUGUACAAAAGCAUCUUGUGUCACACAGAUCUCUCCAGCUGCCUAUAGGGAAUGUACACAACAGUAUAUCACCUUCAAAGAAUGACUGUACCUAUGUUCAUAUCCUGAACUACACCAAGGAAUAGCUCCAUGCUAAACUGCCUUGGCUAAAACACAACCAGUGCCAUCAUUCCUAAUCAGACUAAUGAACAGAAUGGCUUUUAAGGUAAGGAGUUAGAUGGCUAUGUUUAGGGUGUUUUCAGGAUUUACUUUGGAUUCUCCUGCUUUAAAAUCCAAAGAAAGUUAUAUUGAGUUUUUAUUGAUGAUUCUAUGUGUUUAUAACAGAGUGUGGUAGGUGAAUUAAACAUAUUAAAAGAGUUCUAUAGCAUCUGUUUGGAAAAGAUUAUAUAUUAUACAAAGUAUUCAAGUGAUACAAAACCAUUUUUCAGUGUCUUUUCAACUGAGAAGAAUCCUAUUCAGCAUACUUCUCCUCCUGAGGUGGUUCAUACUGAGCAAGCUUUGCUUUCAGUUUUUUAUUUUUUUCUACAAUAGCUUUAUAUUUCUCUUUCGUUUUCGCCAGUUCUAGGCACAGCAGCUCUAUUUCUGGAUUUUCUGGGGUAGCAGUUCCUAAGUGAUGCUUUAAGAAAUCCAAAGCACUGUUAGGUUUCUCUGGUUCUUCAUACCAACACCUUGGUCAGUGUGUCCAGCACCCCUGACUUCUCCAAGUACCUCCGGAACUGCUCACGCUUCAAGUUGGCGGCUUUGUAAUGGGCCAUAGUGACAGCGACAGCAGCGUAGCUGGCCUGUUUUCUACAUUUAUAAUAGAAGGAAAUGCUAAACUGUAGCUCAGUAUUAAUGAAAAUAAAGGUGGAUUUUUUUUCCCAUCUAACAUUCAUAAACACAUUGAACCCUAUCCUUGGCUAUCAGUGGAUGACAGGUUAAGAACCCCUACUCUAGCUAGUUCCUACUUACUUUCAAAACUAUAUCAUUUCUUCUAAAGAACUUCACCAACCUCCCCCUAGAUACAGUUAGCUGCCACUCUUCUGUGCCCCAAGAGCACUCCACAACCUCUCCAGCCUAACACUUACCACUGGCUCUGCUUCAAUGUACUCGUUUUUCCCUCCUAUAGGAGCACACAUUCCUGAGGCAUGGGCCGUGGCUUGUGAGACUUUAUAUUACCACCAUGUAGCCCAGUAUCUGGCAUAUAGCAGGGCUCACUAGAUAUUCAAAGGGAGGAGGAAGGAAAAUUCAAAGAUAAGGGAGCCAUAGAUCAUAGACUAUGAUCUUUAAAACAGAAAAUUAAAGUUAGUAGCUUGAAGGUUUCCUUGAGUCAAAUUUCCUAUCAAUGGGAUCUUCAUAUUUCAAGGAGUAGAGAUGACCAUGUGCACCUGUUCUACUUCUCUUUCAGCGCAGCUCUCAAUUUACAGCCUCCUAAGAAAUCACAAUCCGGCACUACCGAUCUAAUAAUAAUAAUAUCCCAAUUUCAGACCUCUUUAUUUUAGGUUCUCAUUAGUACAGAUGAGGAAAAGGGGCAGCAGAGACAUGAAGAUAAAGGGCUUUCUUCACACCCUGAGCUUUUUUAGGGCUUUAUCUUUCAAAUUUUUUUAUACUUUUUAAGUUCUUGGAUUCAUGUGCAGAACGUGCAGGUUUGUUACAUAGGUAUACAUGUACCAUGGUGGCUUGCUGCACCCAUCAACCCAUCAUCUAGGUUAUCAUUCAAAUGUUAAAAGCCAGGAAAAAUGAUUUAAUUUUAAGGCACGUACAAAAUGUAUAUGUUCUCCCUAGAACUCUAUGUAUUUGAAAAUGAUUGUUAAUAUUUCCUUAAAAAAUAGAACACUAGUAAUAAAAGCCUCCUAAGUCCUCAGCACAGAUGCUUUAUGUAGAAUAAGCAUAGAUGCUUGUGCACAGCAAGGUACACUUUCAGACGUAACUCAACUUCUUCCUAUUAAUGUCACAUAAACAUUGGGACUUAUUCAUGCAUAUUCACUUAAUUUUGUAUGCAUCCCUUCUUUCCCAAUAAUAAAUACUUGCCAUUCCUACUCAAAUGAAUGGACAUUCACAUAUCAAUGUGAGGCUGCAUAUUUCUUGGGUACAAGUUGAUUUUUGAUCUACAAUGAACUUGUUUAUUAUAGGAGGAAGAAAGUAGAGAUCCACAUGGAGAUAAAAUUGGAAAAAAUUUAUAGCCAUUUUUAUUGUCUAAUAGCAGUCUUCUAUUCAAUGUUCUAAUGUAUGAGUACAGGUUGAACCAAGUCUGUGAUUAGCAUUUCAGUGGCAUUCAAUAAACCCCUACAGACUAUCCUAUUGAAAUAUACUAGUCACCCUCACAUAUUUAAGUUACUAAAUUGAAUCUGAUUUAAUAUAAAGUUCUAAGAUCUUGACUUGAAUAAAGUUUAUUUCACCUCAUCAUUUAAUAAGACACUGACCCAUUCUCACUGCAUGUAUUCUGUAAGUGAUAUCUUAUCAGGGUCCUUGGUAAGUAACCAAGGAGCAGAUGCUAAAAUAGCCUUGUGGGCCUUGGUUCAGCAUUCACCACCCUUUACCUACUGAGCAGCAAGUUGAAAAGCAGUAUUCUGAGUCCUCCUUCCCACUAACUUUCCUAAGUGGAGUGUUGGUUGUACACAGAGGAAAAGCUGGACAAUGUUUAUGAUGACAGAUGAGAAGUUACUUGCAUUGGAACUGUGGGUCAAGGAAUUGAUCUCAAAGAAGUAGUCUAUAUUUGAGCCUCUACAUCUUUUGAAAGGAAGCCCCACAGCACCAUAACUGAUAUUCCUGUACUUAGGCUUCUAAAGGUACACAACUUAUUGCAUGCUCUUUUACCUGCUACAUACCUGCAUCUCUGACUUUAUCAUUCUUUUCUUAUGUUAUGUUAUUCCUUUCAUUCCUGCUGUCUCUCCUCUUUUGAAAACAUCUUAUAUUUUGAAUUAGCUAUUACCCUAAAUUUACUGAUUUGGUAUAUAACAUUUGAGCUCUUCAGAAAAAGAAUCUACCCAAAACUAAAAGUUUAGAAGUGUGUUUAUAAGGCAAGCAAAUUGAUCUAAUACAUAUAGAGAAACAUUUGCUAAGAUUUUUUUGCAAAUAAAUGUAGUCAUUCAUAGUAGAUAUGAUAUUAGUAUUACAGCAAUAAUUUUAUACUUAUUAUCACCCUUAAUUUACAUAAUACAGUACACAUCUUUCCCAGGCAGAAAGGGAAAUAGGACACUGGAAAACAAUUCAAACAAGCAGAACAGGAAAGACAGUUUAAAUACUGUAUUAUAGUUCUUAACAAAACUUAUUUUAAAAGAAAAUAAGGCCUGGGAAAGUGUUUUGAGAAUUAUCACUUGAAGUAAAGAGAUUGUAUUAAAGCCAUUUGUUUGCAAAUUUAACAGUCAGUAGACAUUUUCAAUAAUCCACAUUUUAGAGAUUACUUGAAAACCUUAAAUACUUUCUAAACAGAAAGAAAGGUGUUACCAGUAAUUAUCAUCUAUUAAAAUAUAACCCCUGUGUCUAAUAGUAUAAUGAAUCAGAUGUGAAGAGGGAAAAACUGAAAGGAUGGAAAGGAUAAUGGAGCCAAGAGCAGGAGGCAGCUUUGGGGAUGGAUAAAGGACAAAUCAUUCCAGACAAAUAUGAUCACUGUUUUAAAUCGCAUUAUGAGAUUAAUGGAUGAAGGGAAUGCACUAGAGGUAAUAUAUAUGGAUUUUACUGAAGCAUUUGAUACACUACUCCAUGAAUUUCCACUUGCAAAAUUAAUUCAAAUUGGGUAGAAUAUGUGCAUGGUCACAUAGAUUGAAAAUUGGCUUAAGGACCAUAAACAAAGAGCAGUGACAAAUAUCGGUCCCUCACAUUUAGGUGGGAGACAGUGUCCACUGCAUUCGUGAGGACCCAUGCCCACUUUGGCAUCACACAACCACUUCACUAAUGAUCUGGGGCAAGGAAAAUGAAAGUACAGAAUUCCCAAAUCUUGGCAUGGGAAGUAUCACAAACCAAGGCACAGUUAGAGCACAAAAAGAGUUAAUAAUAGUAGAGAAUAAAAUCAAAUAUAAGCAAUACUUAACCUCUUCUAAUGACUGAAAGAAGAACAAAGAAUUACUAGAAAAAAUUGUUACAUACAAUUUUC
Molecule: long non-coding RNA, 9377 nt
Filed under: Homo sapiens (human)
Lineage: Eukaryota; Metazoa; Chordata; Mammalia; Primates; Hominidae
Description: non-protein coding LINC01572:25
Source: RNAcentral